RNAcentral lists this ribosomal RNA (253 nucleotides) under uncultured bacterium. RNAcentral's name for it is "partial 16S ribosomal RNA". It matches the Rfam family "Bacterial small subunit ribosomal RNA", at positions 524 to 776 of the family's 1533-position model. The record is from RNAcentral.
UACGAAGGGGGCAAGCGUUGUUCGGAAUUAUUGGGCGUAAAGGGAGCGUAGGCGGUUCGGCAAGUCUUUAGUGAAAUCUCUGGGCUCAACUCAAAGUCUGCUGGAGAAACUGCCGGGCUGGAGUAUGGGAGAGGUGAGUGGAAUUCCCGGUGUAGCGGUGAAAUUCGUAGAUAUUCGCAAGAACACCAGUGGCGAAGGCGGCUCACUGGCCCGAUACUGACGCUGAGGUGCGAAAGCGUGGGGAGCAAACAGG